Molecule: ribosomal RNA, 375 nt
Filed under: uncultured bacterium
Lineage: Bacteria
Description: bacterial SSU rRNA
Rfam family: Bacterial small subunit ribosomal RNA
Source: RNAcentral
UACGUAGGGGGCGAGCGUUACCCGGAAUCACUGGGCGUAAAGGGAGCGUAGGUGGCCUAACAUGUCAACUGUGAAAACCCGGAGCUCAACUCCGGACUUGCAGUUGAAACUGGUAGGCUUGAGGACGGUAGAGGAAGACGGAACUGCCAGUGUAGGGGUAAAAUCCUUAGAUAUUGGCAGGAACGCCGGUGACGAAGGUGGUUUUCUGGGCCGGUUCUGACACUGAUGCUCGAAAGCCAGGGGAGCGAACGGGAUUAGAUACCCCGGUAGUCCUGGCCCUAAACGAUGUUCACUAGGUGUGGGGAGCGGAAAGCCCUCCGUGCUAAAGCUAACGCGAUAAGUGAACCGCCUGGGGAGUACGCCCGCAAGGGUGAA